This 102-nucleotide microRNA precursor is filed under the name Lutzomyia longipalpis. Its description in RNAcentral is "mir-965 microRNA precursor family". Lineage: Eukaryota; Metazoa; Arthropoda; Insecta; Diptera; Psychodidae. The record is from RNAcentral.
UCAGGUAUUGGUUAACGUCGCAUGGGAUAUACUCUUUCCUUCCACCCAUUAAAAAUAAUGAGUGGAAAGAGUUUAUCCCAUGCGACGUUAAUCAAUACCUGA